ACUGAGUGGCAGCUACCAGGGCUGAUUGAAAGAUGCCAGGGGAGAAGUCGCCCUGACUCUGCUGCCCAUCCUGCUCCCUCCGCCUGUGUUUAAAAAGGGCAGGAAAUUGGUCCGGGCGAGUAUUCAGGAGGUGAAGAGAGCCUUCCUCGAUGUUAAGCCCGUCGGAGCUAACAUGGUGGAAUACUUGCAGCAGGCAGAAUCGCCUCCCCAUUUGUGCUGCUGCUCACAGAGCCUCUUGUUCUAUGUAUAUAUCACUCUCUCAUAGCUGUCCCCCUCACUUGUUCUUAAAAUGUUAUUUUUUUUGUACAUAAUUUGUUCAUAUGUGAAGGAAAUGUUGUGAGUUGUUAUAUUUGUAUGUUCUGGAAAUGUUGAAUUUUUUGAAAUAUUUUAUUGUUACAUUGGUGUCAUUAUCAUUGUAAUAUAUUAUUAAUAGUAUUAGCAUACAAUAAAAAUAAAUAAAUAAUUAAAAUAUAUAUAUAUAUAUAU
Molecule: non-coding RNA, 486 nt
Organism: Doryrhamphus excisus (bluestripe pipefish)
Lineage: Eukaryota; Metazoa; Chordata; Actinopteri; Syngnathiformes; Syngnathidae
Source: RefSeq, a predicted model, not a curated record